Molecule: non-coding RNA, 98 nt
Organism: Acanthosepion pharaonis
Lineage: Eukaryota; Metazoa; Mollusca; Cephalopoda; Sepiida; Sepiidae
Source: the annotation of a GenBank genome assembly
AUUCAAACACCGGUUCUCGUUCGAUAAUCGAAGUUAAGCACUGUCGAGCCGGACCAAUACCUAGAUGGGCGACCGCCUAGGAAUAUCAGGUGUUGUAA